UACGGGGGGGGCAAGCGUUGUUCGGAAUUACUGGGCGUAAAGGGCUCGUAGGCGGCCAACUAAGUCCGACGUGAAAUCCCCAGGCUUAACCUGGGAACUGCGUCGGAUACUCGAUGGCUUGAAUCCGGGAGAGGGAUGCGGAAUUCCAGGUGUAGCGGUGAAAUGCGUAGAUAUCUGGAGGAAUACCGGUGGCGAAGGCGGCAUCCUGGACCGACAUUGACGCUGAUGAGCGAAAGCUAGGGGAGCAAACGGG
RNAcentral lists this ribosomal RNA (253 nucleotides) under uncultured bacterium. RNAcentral describes it as "partial 16S ribosomal RNA". It matches the Rfam family "Bacterial small subunit ribosomal RNA", at positions 524 to 776 of the family's 1533-position model. The record is from RNAcentral.